GUCUACGGCCAUACCACUCUGAACAUGCCCGGUCUUGAUUGGUCUCAGAAGCUAAGCGGAGGCUGGUUAGGACUCGGAUGGGAGAAACAGAGUGAAUGAGACCCACCCAUGCCAGACA
RNAcentral lists this ribosomal RNA (118 nucleotides) under Meriones unguiculatus (Mongolian gerbil). Lineage: Eukaryota; Metazoa; Chordata; Mammalia; Rodentia; Muridae. The record is from RNAcentral.